UGGGGAAUAUUGCACAAUGGGCGCAAGCCUGAUGCAGCCAUGCCGCGUGUAUGAAGAAGGCCUUCGGGUUGUAAAGUACUUUCAGCGGGGAGGAAGGGAGUAAAGUUAAUACCUUUGCUCAUUGACGUUACCCGCAGAAGAAGCACCGGCUAACUCCGUGCCAGCAGCCGCGGUAAUACGGAGGGUGCAAGCGUUAAUCGGAAUUACUGGGCGUAAAGCGCACGCAGGCGGUUUGUUAAGUCAGAUGUGAAAUCCUCGGGCUCAACCUGGGAGCUGCAUCUGAUACUGGCAAGCUUGAGUCUCGUAGAGGGGGGUAGAAUUCCAGGUGUAGCGGUGAAAUGCGUAGAGAUCUGGAGGAAUACCGGUGGCGAAGGCGGCCCCCUGGACGAAGACUGACGCUCAGGUGCGAAAGCGUGGGGAGCAAACAGG
Molecule: ribosomal RNA, 429 nt
Filed under: Chloroflexota bacterium
Lineage: Bacteria; Bacillati; Chloroflexota
Description: Chloroflexi bacterium partial 16S ribosomal RNA
Rfam family: Bacterial small subunit ribosomal RNA
Source: RNAcentral